GUCCACGCCGUAAACGAUGAUAACUAGCUGUCAGGUCUCAUAGAGAUUUGGUGGCGCAGCUAACGCAUUAAGUUAUCCGCCUGGGGAGUACGGCCGCAAGGUUAAAACUCAAAUGAAUUGACGGGGGCCUGCACAAGCGGUGGAGCAUGUGGUUUAAUUCGAAGCAACGCGCAGAACCUUACCAGCGUUUGACAUGUCCGGACGAUUUCCAGAGAUGGAUCUCUUCCCUUCGGGGACUGGAACACAGGUGCUGCAUGGCUGUCGU
This 265-nucleotide ribosomal RNA is filed under the name uncultured bacterium. RNAcentral's name for it is "partial 16S ribosomal RNA". It matches the Rfam family "Bacterial small subunit ribosomal RNA", at positions 793 to 1055 of the family's 1533-position model. The record is from RNAcentral.